Vulpes vulpes (red fox) is the source of this 1799-nucleotide long non-coding RNA. NCBI's taxonomy places the organism in Eukaryota, Metazoa, Chordata, Mammalia, Carnivora, Canidae. The record is from Ensembl.
CUUGUUCAUAGCAAUACCACUUACAAUAGGCAAAGGCAGAAACAACCCAAAUGACCUCCAGCAGAUGAAUGAGUAAACAAAUUAUGGCAUAUACAUUUAAUGGAAUAUGAUGCAGCCAUGAAAAGGAAAGAAGCCCUGGCAGAUGCUACAACGUGGAUGAAACUCAGAAACAUUAUGCUGAAUGGAAGGAGCCAGAUGCCAAAGGUCAUGUAUUGUAUGGUUCCAUGUAUGUGAAACAUUUCAGAAAAGAUACUUCCAUGGAGGUAGAAAGCAGAUUGGUGGUUGCCAGGGGUGGGAAGAGGGGAGAAUGAGGACUAACUGCUUACCAGCUACGGGGUUUCCUUUUGGGAUGAUGAAAAUGUGUUGGAACCACGUCGUUGCACAACAUAGUGAAUAUAUAGAUGCCAUUGAGUUAUUCACUUUAAAAUGGUUAGUUUUUUGUUACGUUUUUUUCAUCUCAAUUUUUUUUAAAUGGUACUUAACCUUGCAACAUGAGAGAAUCCUGAAAGAUCCUGAAGGAGCCCGAAGACUUUCAAGUGUACCUCCUCCCCAGCUCUGCUUCUAAGAUCUUUGCCUACUGCCGUACCAGGGAAGAGAAAGACGCCGCAGAUUCAGAGCCAGUGCAACAACUCACCCUUCAGUGGGGAUUCUUUUGAAAAGAGUCGACCAAAAAGCCCGGGCUGGGCUGGUUGUCUGCACAAGAUGUAUUUGAUUUCAAAGGCAAUUUGUUUUAGGUUAUGAUAUCUUUUUUGCAUUCAGUUAAAGCUUCCAUUCCAGAAAUAUUAGUGUUUUUUAAUACCUCCCCCACACCAACUGUAAGAUCUUACAGCAGCUUUCUGCAUUUGCAGCAAACCCCAUAUUCCUUCAGAACACGGUUGGCCAGAAUCUCGGGCGUCCCUGUCGAACAUAUGGAGAGAAAAUCGCUCCUCUCGCUGCUAUACCAGUUCUUUAAAAUGUCUUCCCAGAAGAUAAUCCGUAGCCAUUACGCAAAUGUGUGGACAAGCAACUUUUGUUUUCUGAAAGACCUAGGAUUCUUUGAACGUGGGAAGGACUACUUCAAGUUUUCUUUGAAGGUUUUCACCAAAGGGGCAUGUCUUUGCACCUUCCUACAACUUAAGACCUAACAGUUCUCAAGAGGAUGGUAAAGAGAAGCAGAGGAAAUUUCAUCUAUCAGUUGGCCAACUCAGACUGGAAGGAACUUCCCUCAUUGACAUGUAAUAGGAAAACAAUCAUCACCACAACAUAAAAGUAACCAAAAAUUCUACAGUUCAAGGAAACAGAGCACUAACUGAAGAUUCCAAUGAAGAGCAUAUAUCUAAAGUAACUUACUAUAGGAAAAGAAUACUCUAGAAAAAGUCUGUGUCCUUAAUAGAAUGCAAGGAGACAUGAUGUUUAUCAUAUAGUGACCUACCAAUUAAGAAUUCAAGGAAACGAAAAAUUUCACUGGGGAAUUAAACGUCUCAUUGGAGACAAGAAAGCAUUAAAAUAGACUCUGUUGAUAAUCAAAUCAGUAAUUUAUAGCUUGAGUAUGAGUUUUUUUUCAGGGAAACUUCCUCACCUUUCUAUGGAUAGUGCUUACAGCUCAGAUUCAAACACAACUAGCUGUUACUUCACUGUGCUUCACUGUUACUGCAUUUGGUGUCGAUGUCUGUCCUGAUACUAUGGGCUCUUUCAGGGAGGGACCAUGAUCUACACAUUUUUAUCCCUAGUGAGCAACUUAACCCCUAACCUGUGAGUCCUCAUUAAGUGCUUGAUGAAUGUAUGAAAUGAGAGCUCAAAAUUAGUUUGGUUCUGUUAAC